CAAGAACGGAUCUAACCUGUUGUGCAGCGUUAUUGUUAGAUAGCGUGGGGUAGAUUAGGGCUGUCGCCUUGGGUCAUGGUCAAAAGAGUGAUCGAGUGUUUUUAUGUAUUUUGUCUAGUACAAAAUUUAAAGAACGUUGGUAUUGUGCAGUUUGUUAGUAUAUGUUCGUUUUGUUUUGUGUACAUUUUGUGUACAUACGAGUCCAAAUAAUUUAGGGCAUAGGGCAAACAGGCUGAUACUAAGGGAAUAGUAUAGAAGACUCUGGAAAAUAGUCUACAGCAGCUUUUCUACUUUCUAGACACUGUCACCGCAUGAAUCACAUAGUUCAAGAAAAGACCAGGCACGUUGUAUAUAUAUACACAGUAAAUUGUUACUAUUAUCGCCAAGAACACAUGCGUGUUGUAAUUAUAACUGGUAUCCUCAUCUGAAGCCGCCAUGUUUGCUGUACUGUCUAGGUGUGUAGACACAAAGGAACAUCAUAAACACUUAAAUGAUGCAUGUUUAAACUUUUCCCCCAAAAAUUAAUCUAUCAACUAAUUUUAUAGAUGUAGGUCUUAAUUUUGAGUAGAUAUGAAAAUGAACUUGAGUUGAUAUCAAGUGGAGUUUCUAGAUCAGGGAAACGUGAUCUAGAUAGUGACUGAUAGUCAAACUUGGUGGCAUUUUCGUCUUCUUAGAAGUCAUUAGAAGUUUAAAAACUUGGCAGAAAACUUUCAUGAUUUCAUGUAAGUAGUCUCGGUAAUGACCUCAUCGGCGAACAAUGUGCAGAAAUGAUGUAGUGCACGGAGUCGACCAAUGAUAUGGACGAUCUUCUUAAGGGGAAUCACCUAUAUACAGAACUAGGCAUAAAAGACGCGCGAUUUUGCAAUACGACAUUUAACGAACUUCGCCUUUCAGACACUGAAAAACUUCUGAGACGUUUCAAACUUUUCAAUUCUACUGACAAAACAGCAUACACUUUAAAUCAUGGACGAAGAAAUCAGUCCUGAAAUGGGCAUUCUGAUAGGAGUUGUUGUUGUGGUCCUUGUCAUCUUUGUCGCUUACAAGGUCGCACAAGCUUGCAAGUCAUCAGGCAGUGGCGGCGGCGGUGGAGGCGGGAACUAUACGCGCGGAUCUAGCAGCCAGGGGUCCAAGUGUGUCAUCUUAUAAAGAUCCCCAUGAAACAUUGCUAUACAGAUAGCGGCUAUGGUGUGGAGGCAGUGCCGAGUGGUGUUCUACUUCAAUCACAACUUACGGGUGUGUGCUGGAAAUAAAACAGCUUGACUCGGGUAAAAUGGAGGACAAGCAACACAACAGAUCACACAUUCGUCAUGUCACCAACUUCAUCCACACGAACUGGAUAAACUACAGUAAUAAAUUGACUUCAAGGACACUACUGUCUUCAUUUAAGAUGUCUAUAGCUACACUCUAAUAGACAACAUUACAGAGCAUGAAUUUCAGACUCCUUGGGAUUAGUCUACAAGAUUUUAGUAAUAGCAUUGUUUACAUGUACAGUAAAUGAGUAAUAAUAUUCGUCUAUUCCCGAGUCUCCUGGCUGUUACUGUUUAUGUAGUGUUGGUGUUUUUGCUAUUUUAUGUCAGAUAUUCAAGUACACAUUUGCUAAUACUUACGCCAAUUAUACCUGGGCACAAUAUCAACAGCUUUCGCUGAACAGAAGAUCAUGUACAAUGACGACUUGCAACAAGUCAGAAAUCUUCAGCAUGGUCUACUUUUGCUAAUCUAUGCAUGGAAAUCACGAAAUGGUGAUUACUACAUAUAGUAUGGAUAUUUACCUUUUGUGAAACAUCGUUGUGAGAAAUAAUAUACAGUAAAUAGAUUUGAUCAUAUAUGGAGUGCUUGCUCUGUGAAUUUCAAUAAAAUCAUUUUUCAAACUCAA
Molecule: long non-coding RNA, 1873 nt
Organism: Branchiostoma belcheri (Belcher's lancelet)
Lineage: Eukaryota; Metazoa; Chordata; Leptocardii; Amphioxiformes; Branchiostomatidae
Exons: 2
Source: RefSeq, a predicted model, not a curated record